Molecule: long non-coding RNA, 357 nt
Organism: Heterocephalus glaber (naked mole-rat)
Lineage: Eukaryota; Metazoa; Chordata; Mammalia; Rodentia; Bathyergidae
Source: Ensembl
CUUUCAGAGCUUUCAGUGAGACAGACAGCCCGCUGUGGCACGCGUGCCGUAGGUGUCUAAACGUAUGCCUGAUGAUUCCAGCAGACCUGUCGAGAGCUACUUCAUCCUGUCCGUCUUGGCCAUGAUCUUUUGCUUUCCCUCAGCCUUCCAGCCUUAAUCUUAUCUUACCAGGCAAUGCUCUACAAUCAAUCAAAUGACCAUGAACAGGCAGCUACAACCACCAAAAUAGCUUUCUGCUUGGGCUUCACUGGCCUUAUUUUGGGCCGCUUCAGCUACCCCAUAUUGCUUCUUGUACUAUUAUUAUUAUUAAGGUAACCUUCCAAGCUCAUGAACAAACUACUGAAUAUAAACAACGGU